AGAGUUUGAUCCUGGCUCAGGACGAACGCUGGCGGCGUGCUUAACACAUGCAAGUCGAGCGAUGAGAUCCCUUCGGGGAUGGAUUAGCGGCGAACGGGUGAGGAACACGUGAAGAAUCUGCCUUCAACUCUGGGAUAACACCGGGAAACCGGUGCUAAUACCGGAUAUGAGCCUUGAUCGCAUGAUCGGGGCUGGAAAGUUUUUCGGUUGAAGAUGACUUCGCGGCCUAUCAGCUAGUUGGUGAGGUAAUAGCUCACCAAGGCGACGACGGGUAGCCGGCCUGAGAGGGCGACCGGCCACACUGGGACUGAGACACGGCCCAGACUCCUACGGGAGGCAGCAGUGGGGAAUAUUGGGCAAUGGAGGAAACUCUGACCCAGCGACGCCGCGUGAGGGAUGAAGGCCUUCGGGUUGUAAACCUCUUUCAGCAGGGAAGAAGCGAAAGUGACGGUACCUGCAGAAGAAGCACCGGCUAACUAUGUGCCAGCAGCCGCGGUAAUACAUAGGGUGCAAGCGUUGUCCGGAAUUAUUGGGCGUAAAGAGCUCGUAGGUGGUUAGUUACGUCGGAUGUGAAAAUCUAGGGCUCAACCCUAGACCUGCAUCCGAUACGGGCUAGCUUGAGUUUGGUAGGGGAGACUGGAAUUCCUGGUGUAGCGGUGGAAUGCGCAGAUAUCAGAGGAACACCAAUGGCGAAAGCAGGUCUCUGGGCCAAUACUGACACUGAGGAGCGAAAGUGUGGGGAGCGAACAGGAUUAGAUACCCUGGUAGUCCACACAGUAAACGAUGGGCACUAGUGUGGGAACCUUCCACGNNUCUGCGACGCAGCUACGCAUUAAGUGCUCGCUGGGGAGUACGAUCGCAGAUUAAACUCAAGAAUUGACGGGNNCGCACAAGCAGCGGAGCAUGCGGCU
Molecule: ribosomal RNA, 911 nt
Filed under: uncultured bacterium
Lineage: Bacteria
Description: bacterial SSU rRNA
Rfam family: Bacterial small subunit ribosomal RNA
Source: RNAcentral